Carassius auratus (goldfish) is the source of this 4558-nucleotide long non-coding RNA. NCBI's taxonomy places the organism in Eukaryota, Metazoa, Chordata, Actinopteri, Cypriniformes, Cyprinidae. The record is from Ensembl.
GAGAUGAUCAGUACGCGGAGGGAUCUGAAGACAGACUUCCUCCUCCGGACAGCCCUUACUUCCUCACAGACCCUCAGCUCUGGUACAGACCCGCUCCACUCAGCAGGCCACUUCCUGUCAGGACAGGAAGUGCCUGCGCUAUAAGCCUGUCACCUGAGGAUGCUUAUUCACACCACACAGUUACAAUACAACAACAGUCUUCAACACUUUAGACUAUAUCCUGACUUUCUUAUUUUUAUUAUGUGAUUCUCAGAAAUAAUGCUCAUAAUUUGUUCAUAUCUCACAAUCUUGUUUUAUCAUAAUUCUAAGUUUGCAUCUUUAUAUCUUGUAAUUCUUAGUUUAUAUCUCGCAAUUUUAACCCUUUUCAUAAUUCAGUUUUUAUAAUUUACAGUUUUAGCUUUUUUCUCAAAAUUGAGUUUAUAUCUUGUAAUUUUUACUUUUUUCUUCAAGUUUACAACAGAAAAAUACAGCUAAUUGUUUUGUCUGAAUUUUUAUCUCAAGAAUGUGAUGCAUUUCUGAGAUAUAACCGCAAGAAAUACAACACUUCAUGAAAUAAAAAGGAGUGAUCUCCUCAGUCCUGAGCCCUGUGUCGACUGUGUGUGUGUGUGUGUGUGUGUGUGUGCUGCAGUGUGCCCGAGCUGGCUGAAGAGGGCGCUAGUGGCGUCCGCGGCCCGGUGCUGUUCCACCCCCCGCCCAACUGCAGGAUCAGAGAGGUGCAUUGUGGGAGUCAGGUCCGGCUUGUCGUCAUAGCCAUUCGAGACAUUGCCAAAGGAGAGGAGAUCACCGUGGACUACAGCCUGACCGACUGGGGAGAGAAUACCAUGGGCUUUCACACUGCAGUGUCCCCGCGCGGGUUUGACUGUGGAUUCAACCCAGAGAGCACCAUCAAGAAGGAGGAGGAGCCGGGUUCACUCCCUCUGUCUCUCACUGUUUCUGACUACCUCACUCCGUCCUGGUCUCUGUCUCCCUCCUCCUCUCCACUGUCUCACUCCGAGGCCAGCGACUCCGACCGAGAGGACGAGGAGGAGGAGGAAGACGACGACGAUGAUGAUGACGACGACGAAGAGGACCUUGAGGACCUGCGGGGACGCAUGAUGAGACGCCGCAAGAAACGCAAAACCUCAGCGACCGUCAAGAAGAAAGCCCAGCCACGCCCCCUGUCCUUCGCAUGCCCCGCCCCUUCCUCACCGGCGCCCUUCCAGCAGCCUUUAGCCCCGCCCACAACGAACAUCAACAAUAAUAUCAACAUAAACAUCGGUGCGAGUGGCACGCUCUCCCGCAGACAGCACUGUCCCUACUGUGGGCGUCACUUCCGCUCCCUCGCUAGACACCUGGAGAAACACCACGAGCAGCAGCCCGAGGUCCGAGCCGCCAUGGAGCUGUCGCACCCCCCCGCCUCCUCGCACCCCUUCACCUCUCCCGCUCAGCCCUCGUCCUCCCUGGGUACAACCUCCCUGUUCUCCCGCGAGCGAGACUCUUCGUCUUCAGCUCCGAAAUCCGGAGGUGUCUCCUUCUCGCUCUCGCUGUCUCCGCCUCCUGCCUCCAGUACCUCAAAAAAGAGCUCAACGUCAUCGCCUAAAAAGCCAGCCGCUAACAAGAGCCCUGCUGUCUCACCCAACCCUCCCGCCAGGAGAGGACGGCCACCGAAGAAAGAGAAAGAACAGCCGCAGAAGAAGCAGGAGGAGGCGCCUCCAACGCCCGGGAAACAGGAGGAGGAGGAGUUCGACAUGAGAGAAGACGUAAGCACAGAGGACAAGGAUGGUGAAAUGACGAGUGCUCACAUGCCUCCUCUGCUGUCGUCUCUCUCCACACUGGUGCUGUAUCUCCGGCGGCAGCAGCACGCCUCGUUCCUGUCCCUGUCCCGCGCUCCUCCAUCGGCCGAGGCCUGGCGUCUGCUCUGUCACUCCAGCCUGGCUCUGCUGAUCCUCUUCAACCGUCACCGUGAGUGUGAGGUGGCCAAGCUCUCGGUGCAGGACUACCGCGGCCGCACCUCUCCCUCCUCUCCCUCUCUGGAGGCGGCUCUGUCCCCGUUCGAGCGUGCUGUGCUCUGUCUGCUGCCGCGGGUGGGAGUCCUGGGCAAACGUGGACGUGUCCAGACACUCAUCCUUCCUCCGCACUCAGAGGCGUGUCUGGAUCUGCUCCUGAAGACGUCUGCAGACGUGGGCGUGGAUCCCCAGAGCCCCUAUGUGUUCUCCCGGCCGUAUCACUCCCCGGCCACACCUCUGCGCGGGACAGACCUGCUGCGGAGCCUAGCGCGCUCUAGCGGUGCGAAGAACCCCGCGGCGCUCACCGCCCCCCGAACACGCCGACAGGUGGCCAUCCUGACCCAGCUGCUGCUGCUGGAGGAGGGCGAGCGCACACCGGGCACAGCCACCAGACGCCUGGAGGACUUCCUGCAGAGCGAGUAUCACGUGACCCAGAGCUGUGCUCGGAUUGGUCAGGACCCGGCGCUGAUGAACCGUGUGGGGAGAGUGGUUCUGUACGGAGAGAGAGAGGGAGUGCUGUUCAGAGGAAUGAGCCUGCAGCACAUCUGCCUCGAGCUGGACGUGAUGUCGGGGAACUCUGCUGACUCAUUCUCGGAGGAGUCUGAUGGAGAGGCCAGUAAGAGUAAAGACUCUGUGAAGAAGAAGAAGCAAGGGUCGAGUACUCGAGCGCCGCGGCUGAAGAAGAGCAGUCCUCAUCCGUCCAGCAGCUCACCGUCAGCAGCACUCAAGAGACGCAGCGCUCCGCUCAAGACCGGGAAGCGCGGCGUGCUGAAGCGGCCGUGGUCGGAGGCUGAGCGAGUGGCAGUGGAGACGCACCUGAAGAGGAACAUCAUGGAGCUGCGUGUUCCUGCUAAAGCAGACUGUGAGCGCUGUCUGCAGCUCUGUCCUCUGCUGGUCAGUAACCAGCGCGACUGGAGGGCCAUCAAGUUCUACUGCCACAACCGCAUCCAGCUGCUGAGGAAACAGGGACGACGAGACGGGAACACAGCCGCCGUCUGCUAACCUCAUCAUUCACAUCCUCACGCAGACCACUUCUGUGGAAAACACAACCAAGAUUCACCGGAGCCAUCUUUAAUAUCUCAGCCAAGUGCCAAAAAUACAAAACGCCACACACAAGUAUCAUAACACGUGUGCUCUCUUUCCCACUAAAAUAUCCACUUCUGUGUAAACUGCUGCACAUUUAUCAUCAUCAGAGAAUAAAGAGUCACGUGACUGCUAUGAUCUUAACUCGUGUGGAAAAGAGUUGUGUUGAGAUUAAUUCAGCUCGGUGAGUCUGUGAUGACACCGUUGUGUUGAAUAUUUCCUGAACUCUUCUUCUAAGCUCACACACACUGCAUGCUCACACACACACACACACACUCUCUCCCCACAUCCCCAUGUGUGUGUGACUCCAGGACCGUUUCUGUUUCACACACACACGUGUUCAGACUCCUCAGAAACACAGCAGCGAUGAACCGAUCAUAACUCUCUACAAGGACAGUUUUUACACACUGAUGGGUGCGGACUGGCUCUCUCUCAGUUGUAAAACAGUGUUGGAUCAUCUGGGACCAGUUUUUCUCAGUUUCACCUCAUGUGUCUGGAGUCUGAUUCUCUAUCAGGAUCAAUCACUCCCAGAUCAUACUUCACACUCAGAUCAACAGUGAUUUGUGUUUUCUGUUUAUCAGUAUCAAUAGUGAUUCUCAUUACUGUAAUGCAUUGAUAUAAAUACAAAAUAUAUAUAUAAUUUUCUUUUUUUUUUUUUCUUUUUUUUCUACAGAAUAUUUUUUGCAUUUCACUAAUAAUAUUUGCAGCUAAUAGCAUCAAAAAGCAGAAACUCCCAGUGGUCUGAGAAACGGGCUUCUUUUAUUUUCGUUGUUUUUGCAGUUGGGCUGACCUGAGAUAUCUGGAGCUGUUCUCCACCGUGAGAUUCAUCCGUCUGUGUUCUCAAGUGCUGGUUGCCUUAACUCUUGUUGUUUUAUUGGUUAUAUAUAGACCUCGUCUGGCUGCAGCUGGUAUUAAACCCAAUCACAUUCACUUGUUUCUGUGCUUCAUCAGUCCAGCUCAACAGGAGCACUGUGUUUUAGGGAUCAUUGAGUUUGGAGAUCAGCUGAUGUUUCAUCCCAUUGGAGUUUGUAUUGCUCACCUGUGCCAAUCAGAACACGAUUGAUUGAUGAAAUCCGACUGUAGAAGGACACUGAAUCUCCUCUCUCUCUCUCUCUCCUGUACAGUCGUCUGAUCUCUGAUCUGUGUUCAGUGACGUAUCCUAACAUCAUAUUAGCUGUUAAAAGUGUUUUCAUUGUGUGAUGAUGUACAUUCUGUAAAUAUGACUUGUAUGAAGUAACACGUUUAAAAGUUGUUUUCUUAAAUGCUGUUGUAAAGGUAUAUCAGAUUUUAGAGAGACGAUAUCUUGACAAAUACAGAGCUUAAAGUCACUGCGAAGAAAAACUGAAUUUCAGAUUGUAAUGUCUUUUUAUUAAAUUACAAACAUGGAAACAUUAGUCUGUGUGUCUGGUGUCAUUUCUGAUUUAUAUUUCUCACACAUCACAAGCUCACAUGCAUGUCGUAAUAAAUGCUAAACAGCCUCUGGUGCUCUU